RNAcentral lists this ribosomal RNA (520 nucleotides) under uncultured Glomeromycotina. Its description in RNAcentral is "SSU rRNA". It matches the Rfam family "Eukaryotic small subunit ribosomal RNA", at positions 569 to 1090 of the family's 1831-position model. The record is from RNAcentral. Lineage: Eukaryota; Fungi; Glomeromycota.
AGCAGCCGCGGUAAUUCCAGCUCCAAUAGCGUAUAUUAAAGUUGUUGCAGUUAAAAAGCUCGUAGUUGAAUUUCGGGGUCAGUAGGUUGGUCGUGCCACUGGUAUGUACUGGCUUCACUGAUUCCUCCUUCUUGUAGAACCGUAAUGCCAUUAAUUUGGUGUUGCGAGGAAACAGGACUGUUACUUUGAAAAAUUAGAGUGUUUAAAGCAGGCUAACGCCUGAAUACAUUAGCAUGGAAUAAUGAAAUAGGACGUUCGACCCUAUUUUGUUGGUUUCUAGGAUUGACGUAAUGAUUAAUAGGGAUAGUUGGGGGCAUUAGUAUUCAAUUGUCAGAGGUGAAAUUCUUGGAUUUAUUGAAGACUAACUACUGCGAAAGGCAUUUGCCAAGGAUGUUUUCAUUAAUCAAGAACGAAAGUUAGGGGAUCGAAGACGAUCAGAUACCGUCGUAGUCUUAACCAUAAACUAUGCCGACUAGGGAUCGGAUGGUGUUAAUUUUUUAAUGACUCAUUCGGCGCCUUA